GGUUAGACGAAGAAUCUAAAUGGAACAGUUUGUUAUUUUAAUUUACAGUAAAUAUUUUAAAGUAAAUAUUUUUCUUUCUUUAGGUGAAAUUUAUAAAAAGAAACACAAAUAUCUUAAACUAUUUAAAGGAUUUAAAAAAUGAAGUUAAAAAACCAGGAUUAGAUACCCUGUUAUUCUUCACAAUAUAUGUUAAUAGGGUAGUAAAAGUUAUUCUUCAAACCCAAAGAUUUUGGCGGCAUUCUAACCAAACAGAGGAGCUUGUCUUAUAAUCGAUAAUCCCCGUUGUAUCUUACCUUUACUUGUUUAGUUUGUAUACCUCCGUUGUCGGAUUACUCUAAAAGGACGUUUUCUAGAAAAACCAUUUUUUUACUUCAGGUCAAGGUGCAGUUAAUGUAAAGGAAAUGAUGAGCUACAAUUUUUUAAAAAACACGGAUUCCAAUUUGAAAUUUGGUUAAAGGUGGAUUUGUUAGUAAGUCUUUUUAAGAAUAGAAGGCUGAAUCAGGCAAUUGAAUGUGUACAUAUCGCCCGUCACUCUCCUUCGAAAAGGAGAUAAGUCGUAACAAA
Molecule: ribosomal RNA, 564 nt
Filed under: Daphnia salinifera
Lineage: Eukaryota; Metazoa; Arthropoda; Branchiopoda; Diplostraca; Daphniidae
Description: partial 12S ribosomal RNA
Source: RNAcentral